Molecule: long non-coding RNA, 474 nt
Organism: Suricata suricatta (meerkat)
Lineage: Eukaryota; Metazoa; Chordata; Mammalia; Carnivora; Herpestidae
Exons: 2
Source: RefSeq, a predicted model, not a curated record
AUAGUCGCAUUUGGGUUGGAAACAUGCACAGCUGAUUCUCCCUUUGUGUUGGCCUUUCAUUAACUGAAGCAGAGCAUUUAUAAACUGAUAUUGGCUAUCAUUAUUUUCAUAUUUACUGUUCUCCUAAGAUGCACUAUAUACUGCUGUGCCAUCAACAAGCCAAGUCAUUCUGCCACUGCCUGAAUCUCAGAGGUAGUGUCUCAUUCUCAAGAUGAGUGGAGCGAAAAAGGAAGGCAUCACCCCAGAGUUGUCCCAAGUAUCAGCUACAUGACUGAAGGUGGGUACUGUAGGAUGCCAACAACAAUCUGACAAAGGAUGUUACCAAAACAAAACAAAAAACACAAACAAAAAAACAACACUAAAACCACCAAAACAAGCACUUCUUGGUUUUUGGAGCUUUUUAGGUGGCAGAAUUGUGGGGAAAAGAUCAUGGACCUGUACACCCAAAUAAAACUAUGAAUUGAUUACCACCAA